Long non-coding RNA from Cyprinus carpio carpio, 363 nucleotides. Lineage: Eukaryota; Metazoa; Chordata; Actinopteri; Cypriniformes; Cyprinidae. The record is from Ensembl.
UCUCUGUCGAGCGGCUGGGCGGGAGCGGUGUGAUGGCGGGCAUGAACCCCAUAUGCUGGCGUUCCUCCUCCAGGGCACACGGCGAGAGCUGAGGCUAAUUGGUGGGAUCAUAGCAAUGAAUCGCUAAGAAAGAACGUCCUCAGAACUGGAAGCACAAGGAAACAUCUCACAUCCUCAGAUCUUCAGAGCUCUAUAUAGGCAGCUCUUCUUAUCUGCUCUAAUGAAGCCGUCCGCGGGGCAAGCGAGCACAGGCCUGACCUCCAGCGAUCCCUCCUCACCUCAUCAAGAUCUCAUUCAUCUGGAGCAACAGCCGCCCCUGGCCAGCACAGGUGAACUGCUUAAAUCAGCUUUAACAGACUGAUG